UGUGUUUGUUGGAAGUAAAUAAGCAAGAAAUUCUAUGCAGAUUUCUGAAGCAGUCGUCAAGUGCCUAAAGUUUUGCUAUAUCCACAUAUCCCAUAUUUAUGGGUAUGGAAGCCUGUUUCCCCCGCCCGCGUAGAAAAAAAAAAAAAAAAAUCUCGAAAUAAUGAGGUACUAUUUCGCGACUCUGUACCGCCCAGUGCACAUGUGUUUCGGCGAAGCUGUCACGCUUUUCUCACGUUCUUGCAAAUGCCCUCUCAUCAGACACACAUACUGUAGCGGCUUUCUAGGUUCCAAAGCCAAACAGAAUUUAUAUCAGAGAAAGCUAAUUCUCCAAGACAAUGUAGGUGGGGUCUCCGGAAGACCUGGCUCUUUCGGCUCGGAUCACUUAAAAGAGUUGGCUCUUUCGACUCCAAAGUACGUGCUUGUACGUGUUCUUCGGAAAUGUAUUUUUUUUUUGUUCCUCAAUUUAUUAUCCACCAGAAAAAUGUUGCAAAAUGAAUGAGAGCUCAUAGUCGGAAAUGACUACAUUCAACAGCUCUUCUUCUGGAUCGGCGUAAAGUGAAAUGUGCAUUUUGAGUUUUAAAAUGAGUUUGUUACUUGGCUUUUGAUGGUUACAUUUACAGAUUUACCUGCAGAAAAUUGAUGGAACGGGAGCUUUUAAUUCAGAAAUCUUCCCAUUUUGUCUGAAACUUGUUUUUGUACUGAACCAGCAAUCAGAAAACAUGCUUCUGUUACAUGACUGUUUACUGCUCUAAAGUAAUGGGUUUUAAAUGUUUUCAUCUCUGAAUAACACACCAGCAAAUGCAUUUUUUUUACUCAUGAAAGUGCAUGCAAUUACACUUCCAUAACU
Molecule: long non-coding RNA, 847 nt
Organism: Poecilia latipinna (sailfin molly)
Lineage: Eukaryota; Metazoa; Chordata; Actinopteri; Cyprinodontiformes; Poeciliidae
Exons: 2
Source: RefSeq, a predicted model, not a curated record